AUUAGCUUGUUGGUGCGGUAGUGGCGCACCAAGGCCGCGAUGGGUAGCGGGUUUGAGAGGACGGUCCGCCACACUGGAACUGAGACACGGUCCAGACUCCUACGGGAGGCAGCAGUGGGGAAUCUUGGACAAUGGGCGAAAGCCUGAUCCAGCCAUGCCGCGUGAAUGAUGAAGGCCUUAGGGUUGUAAAAUUCUUUCAGCAGGGAAGAUAAUGACGGUACCUGCAGAAGAAGCCCCGGCUAACUCCGUGCCAGCAGCCGCGGUAAUACGGAGGGGGCUAGCGUUGUUCGGAAUUACUGGGCGUAAAGCGCUCGUAGGCGGAUUGGUCAGUCAGGGGUGAAAGCCCGGAGCUCAACUCCGGAACUGCCUUUGAUACUGCCAGUCUUGAGUUCGGGAGAGGUGAGCGGAAUACCGAGUGUAGAGGUGAAAUUCGUAGAUAUUCGGUGGAACACCAGAGGCGAAGGCGGCUCACUGGACCGAUACUGACGCUGAGGAGCGAAAGCGUGGGGAGCAAACAGGAUUAGAUACCCUGGUAGUCCACGCCGUAAACGAUGAGAGCUAGUUGUCUGGCAGCAUGCUGUUAGGUGACGCAGCUAACGCAUUAAGCUCUCCGCCUGGGGAGUACGGCCGCAAGGUUAAAACUCAAAGAAAUUGACGGGGGCCCGCACAAGCGGUGGAGCAUGUGGGUUUAAUUCGAAGC
Molecule: ribosomal RNA, 700 nt
Filed under: uncultured Maricaulis sp.
Lineage: Bacteria; Pseudomonadati; Pseudomonadota; Alphaproteobacteria; Maricaulales; Maricaulaceae
Description: bacterial SSU rRNA
Rfam family: Bacterial small subunit ribosomal RNA
Source: RNAcentral